GAGUCGCCCAAGUGCACUCGACGAGUCGGGUCAAAGUUUGACCGUUGACUUUUGUUGACUUUUAGGGUUUGGUCAACAGUGAGGCCUUUGAGCCAAGAGAGGGGUAAAAUGGUCUUUUACCCUUCUGAGGAUGUUAAGAAAGGUUGGAGUAUAUUUAUAUUUAUGAGAGUAUUUCCUUUAUAUGAUUAGGCGGAGGCUAGAUCACAUUUCUACUGAGACAGAGACUUACCGAGACGCCUUAGGUGAGUUUUCUCAUUAUACGUUACCUUGAGUGGUAUUAUGUAUUGACCAGAGGGUCUUAUGUGUUACGUAUGAGAUUAUGUGCUAUGUGACAUAUGUGUGUUGUAUGAUUGUUAUAGACCGGACCGGAGGGUCCAACGAGCUAUGACCGGACCAGGGGGUCCAACAAGCUACGAGACUGGAGGGUGCCACUGAGACACAUCGAUCGGAGGGUCGUAUUAUAGCCUCGAGGGGCGUAUAUGUUGUAUGCGGUAUUUUGGGGGACUCGCUAAGCAUUUAUGCUUAGAUUUGUUGUGUUAUGUUUUUCAGGUACUAGCAAGGACCGUGGGAAGGCGCCGACGUGACUCGUACACACUAGAGAGAGAGUCUGAUUUUUAUGAUCUUGGGAAAUGAUAUGUUUCAAAAAAUACUGUUGAAAAUAUUUAAGAAUAAUUUUAUAUGAAUUUAGUUGAUGAAAAAUGAAAAUUUUGUUUUGAAAAUUUACGUUGUUACAAGUUGGUAUCAGAGCCUUGGUUUGAGGGAUUCGGAUGCAUCUUCGGGCGUAUCUGAACUCAAACUGAGGAUUUGAGGAAAAAUUUUGAUAAUGAAGUAAAAUUUUUGAAAAGAGUAAAAAGGGUUUUGAGACAAACAGAGCAGAGUCGUGUGUACGAUCAGCCAGCACCCGAACGGUGAAUCCCCAAAAUUACCCUUACAUUAUGUGUUAUGAGAUAUGCUAUGUUAUAUUAUGCAUGCUAGAAUAGGCUACGUAUUCAUAUUAGGACUAGAGUGGCCUGAUUUGUGAUGCCUUAGCCUAGGAGAUUUCUGCUCCUGAUAUGCCUUGAGAGCGAGUAUAUAGCAGUUAAGAGUUCUUGAGAGGUUUAUCGGAGGGUAGCCAAUGCAUAAUGAGGGUAGAGUACUCGUAAUCCAGGAUCCAAGGAGGAGGACUUGGGGUAAAUGUUGAUGCGGUGUGGUCAGUAGCAUUGGGCCUAUACUACUGAAGACACCGGAUCAGUGGGCAUUCAAAGUAAGAAUCUUUUGGACAACGGAGGACGAGUAGGGUUGCUUCAUUGAGUAUGGGUAUGCUCGAUCGAGUCUCUGAUAUUUAUUGUUGUAUUUCAGAGGCAUUAUGGUUGGGACUCGACACACACCUGAGAGCAGUGGUGUCAAUAACGAGGAGAUCCGUUGAUUGAUUCAUUAGGAGGUGGCUGCAGCCAUUCGGGCUGAGAUUCCAGAGAUGUUUGGGGACAUCAAGACCACUUUGAUUGAGACCUUUGAUGAGCGGUAUGCAGCACUGACUGAGGCUGCGGCAGNUGCUACUGCCAGACCUCAGGGAGGUGACUCAUUGUUGUUUCGGGAUUUUAGCAACACGAAGCCACCAGAGUUCGAUGGGACGCAGGACCCGAUUGCUGCGGUGAGAUAGAUCUCUGACAUCGAGGGAUGUUUCUAUACAUGUUCUUGUCCAGAGCACUUGAGAGUACGGUUCCCUCUGAGCCAGCUCCGCUUGGGAGCAAAGGAUUGGUGGAAGUUCGUGACGGCGAACUUCACUUUGGCGGAGAUUUCUGAGGUGACCUGGGAGAGGUUAACCGCUAUGUUCAGAGACGAGUAUGUUCCCCCGGUGGAAAGGGGGCGGUUGAUUCGGGAGUUCUUGACCCUCAAGCAGGGUACUGAUUCUGUGACAGUGUUCACCAGGAAGUUUCAUGAGAGGGAGAUGUUUUUCCCUGAGCAGGUGUCUUCUGAGCAGGCACAUAUGAGCCGUCAUCUGGGUGUUCUGAGGAGAGAUAUUCGGGAGUUCGUGGCGAACUCAACUUACCAGACAUUUGCUGAGCUCCAGGAAAAUACCCAGAAGGGGGAUAUUGAGUUAGAGACGCACGCCAGGGAGGAGGCCGAGUCACAGAGGGUGGAUCGGCAACCGGCUCAGUCUCAGUCGGCUGCCAAGCGGGCUAGACCCGCUGAUUCGAGAUCUGGGGGCGCGAAGGGUCGUACUUGUGGGAAGUGCGGCAAGAGUCACGAGGGGUCAUGCAGGGCUGGAGGCCGAGUCACAAGUGCGGGAAGGAGGGGCAUAUCGCGAGGGAUUGCCCCAAAGGAUUUUCAGUUUGCUUUCAUUGCAACCAGACCGGCCAUCAGAAGGCCGAGUGCCCUCAGCUGCUUUAGGGAUCACCACAGGGAUCUGCGCCUGCUGUUAGGGCUACCGAGGUUCGGCCAGUGAAGGCCGAGGCACCGAAGGCUUGUGGGAGAGUUUUCCAGUUGACUGCAGAAGAGGUCCGCGCGGCGCCCGAUAUUGUGGCUGGUAUGUAUUCUAUAUUCAUCUCUUAUUUGAGUUGAGUUAUUGUGCUUAUAUGAUGGUAUGCGUAGGGACUUUUCUUGUGAGUUCUGUGCCUGCUUUGGUAUUAUUUGACUCAGGUGCGAGUCGGUCGUUUGUUUCCGUAGCAUUUAGUCAGCACAUUAGUAUCCGUCGAGGGUCGUUGGAUCGACCACUGCGAGUUUCCAUAGCUGAUGAGCGAGCACUGUAUGCUUCAGAUGUGAUUCGAGGAUGUGUCCUUGAGAUCUUCGGUGUGGAGUUCCCGAUAGAUCUGGUUCCGAUUGUGAUGGGAGAUGUGUGUGUUAUAGUGGGUAUGGAUUGGUUGAGCCGAUAUGGAGCUGUGAUAGACUGCGAGCGUCAAUUAGUGACGAUUCGAGACCCUAGUGGGGGAGUUCUUACGGUGUAUGGCGAGGGUACAUGUGUUGCGUCAGCAUUUUGUUCGGCCGCCAGAGCGAGACAGAGUCAACAUCAGGGCUGUAGGGGAUUUAUGGCAUAUGUGAUGGAUGCGAGGGUUGAUUCAGAGAGACCGAGGUCAGUUGAUGAGGUCCCGAUAGUGCAUGAGUUUCCGGAUGUGUUUCCAGAGGAUUUUCUAGGUGUGCCUCUGGAGAGGAAGGUAGACUUCGGUAUUGAUUUGGUUCCGGGAGCUGUGCCUAUCGCCAAGGCGCCAUAUCGCCUAGCGCCUCCAGAAAUGCAGGAGUUAUCCUCGCGGCUCCGGGAGCUGCUUGGGAAGGGUUUCAUUCGGCCGAGCAGUUCGCAAUGGGGGGCGCCUAUCCUCUUUGUCAAGAAGAAGGAUGGUUCACACCGAAUGUGCAUUGAUUACCGGGAGUUGAACAAGCUGACGGUCAAGAACCGUUACCCGUUUUCAAGGAUCGAUGAUUUGUUCGAUCGGUUGCAGGGAGCAUCUUGGUUCUCCAAGAUUGAUUUGAGGUCUGGGUAUCAUCAGGUGAGGGUGCGAGAUGAAGACGUCCAGAAGACAGCAUUUCAGACUCGUUAUGGGCAUUACGAGUUCGUGGUGAUGCCUUUCAGACUCACCAACACACCAGUGGUGUUCAUGGAUCUCAUGAACAGGGUGCACAGGCCGAUGCUGGAUGGGUCGGUGAUCAUAUUCAUUGAUGAUAUUUUGGUGGAUUCGAUGUCUAGAGAAUAGCACGAGGAGUAUUUGAGGGAGAUCCUUGGAGUUCUGAGUUCGGAGAGGCUUUAUGCCAAGUUCUCAAAGUGUGAGUUCUGGUUACGAGAGGUUCAGUUUUUGGGGCAUCUUGUCAACUAGAAUGGGAUAUUGGUUGAUCCGGCCAAGAUUGAGGCGGUCAUGAGGUGGGAGGUGUCGAGAUCACCCACCAAGAUCAGGAGCUUUCUGGGUUUAGCCGGCUAUUAUCAGAGAUUUAUUAAGGAUUUCUCCAAGAUCGCCGUGCCACUCACCAAGUUAACCCGGAAGGGUGUUGCCUUAUCGUGGGGUCCGGAGCAGCAGACCUCGUUCGAGGCACUUCGCCAGAAAUUAUGCGAAGCCCCAGUGUUAGCCCAUCCGGAAGGAAUGGAGGAUUUCGUGGUAUAUUGUGAUGCAUCGAUAUCCGGAUUGGGAGUAGUGCUUAUUCAGAAGGGGCAUGUGAUAGCAUACGCAUCGAGGCAGCUUAAGCCUCAUGAGACGAGGUAUCCCACUCACGAUCUGGAAUUAGGAGCGGUAGUGUUCGCCCUCAAGAUCUGGCGACACUAUCUGUAUGGGGUUCGGUGUACGAUAUACACGGACCACAAGAUCCUGAAGUAUUUGAUGGAUUAGCCCACCCUGAAUAUGCGCCAGAGGAGGUGGUUGGAUGUGGUCAAGGAUUAUGAUUGUGAGAUCUUGUACCACCCGGGCAAGGCUAAUGUUGUAUCCGAUGCACUGAGCCGUAGGGCGGAGGGCGCCCCAAUGCGAGAUGUUUGUUUGAGAUUGAUAGUGAUGACCCCUGUGUUGGAUGCUAUUCGUGGGGCCCAGGCUGAGGCCGUGAGGCCCGAAAGCCAGAAGAGAGAGCGAGUUGUCGGGUUGGUGUCGGAAUUCAUUACUGAUAGUCGGGGGCUUAUGACAUUUCAGGGUCGGAUUUAGGUACCGUCUGUAGGCGGGACGCGUACCAUUUUGAUGGAAGAGGCUCAUCGAUUGAAGUUCUCAAUCCAUCCCGGGGCCACUAAGAUGUAUCUAGACCUGAAAAGGGAGUAUUGGUGGCCCUGUAUGAAGAGGGAUGUCGCAUGGUUUGAAGAGAAAUGCUUGACCUGUCGCAGGAUUAAGGCCGAGCAUCAGCGUCCACAUGGUAAGCUGCAGCCGUUAGAGCUUCCCGAGUGGAAGUGGGAACAGAUUACCAUGGAUUUCAUCACCAAAUUGCCAAGUACUGUGAGAGAUGUCGAUGCAAUUUGGGUGAUUGUGGAAAGGUUGACGAAGAGCACUCAUUUUCUUGUUAUCAGUGAGAGCUCUUCCGCAGAAAAGUUGGCAGAAAUGUACAUGAGAGAGGUGGUAUCGCGGCAUGGGGUACCGAUCUAGAUUGUCUCAGAUCGAGAUGUGCGUUUCACUUCCAGGUUCUGGAAGAAAUUUCUUGAGGAAUUGGGUACGAGACUGCAUUUUAGUACCACAUACCACCCACAGACUGACGGCCGGAGUGAGCGGAUGAUUCAGACGCUUGAAGACAUGCUUCGAGCAUGUGUGUUGGAUUUCGGAAGGAGUUGGGACACGUACUUGCCCUUGGCAGAGUUUUCCUACAACAACAGCCAUCAUUUGAGCAAUGGUAUGCCACCCUUUGAGCGGUUGUAAGGGAGAAGGUGUCGGACCCCCAUUUGCUGGGGAGAAGUAGGGCAGCAUGUGAUGGGUAGUACCAAGAUCAUGCUUCAGACGACCGAGCAGAUUCAGCAGGUCGGACAGAGGUUGUUGACCGCUCAGAGUCGUCAGAAGAGUUAUGCGGACAGACGCUGGUCCGAGCUCGAGUUUCAGGUCGGCAACUUCAUGCUCCUGAAGGUCUCUCCUUGGAAAGGGAUGAUUCGAUUCAGGAAGAGGGGCAAGUUGGGGCCCCAAUAUAUUGGUCCUUUCAGGGUGAUCACGAGGGUAGGCAGGGUAGCCUACCGGUUGGAGUUACCUGCAGAGUUGGGUCAGAUUCAUGACACGUUUCACGUGUCGCAGUUGCAAAAGUGUAUAGCCGAUGAGUCGGCGGUGGUUCCAUUAGAAGAUAUACAGGUGGAUGUGAGCCUGAAUUAUGUUCAGAGACCGGUGGCGAUUAGGGAUCGGAAGAUCAAGGUUUUGAGGAACAAGGAGGUGCCUCUGGUGCAGGUCCAGUGGCAGCAUCAGAAAGGGUCAGAGUUGACUUGCAAGCCGGAGUUGUUUGCAGAAUGAGACUUCGAGGGCGAUGUCAAAUUCUAGUGGGGGAGAAUUGUGAGUAGACUCGGAGAGUUGGUGUUUAAACUCGCCGAGUUUGGUCACGGAUUCAUAUCCGGGUUCAUAGCCGGACUCGGCGAGUCCACGCUGUUUAAUGAAACCCUAAUUUCUUGGGUUUAGGACCUAUUUAAAGGCCUUUAAGGCCGUCAUUUGCAGCUACCAAACCCCAGAGACAAGCCCUAAGAGAUCUAGAUCAUUUUUGAGGAAGGAGAAGCCAUUCUUGAUCCUUUUGUUGGUGUAUUUGCAAGAAGGAGGUGACCAAGGCAAGAGGAGGCUGAAGGAGGUGCGAUUUUGGUGACUUCAGAGUUCAUAGAGUUCAUAUUGAGGUAUUCAUUCAGACCUUCUUCAGUUUUGGGUGUUGAUUCUUAGAGUUAGGAUUUUCUAACCCCUUUAGUGGAUGGAUAAGUGGAGCAAAUGGUCCCUUCUCGAGUCUAUGCUUUGGAUCUGGACCCAAAGAGGUCCAGAGACCUUAACCCUUGGAGCUUUAUGGGUUGUUUUGGGAGCCAUGAGCCUAGGAUGUCAUUUUUGGGGAUAAAUCACUACGUUAGACCAUUUAGAUGAUAAAUCAGUGUCAAGGUCUUAACUUUACGUGAUUAUCAUGCUUGGGAAGGCCAGAUCUAUGAAUUAAAGGAACAGAUCUGACCUCAGGAGGUCUAUGGAGUUUGUGCAUGGCAUGAACUCGCCGAGUCCGAAGAACGACUCGGCGAGUAGGAUGAGGGUUUCCCGUAAAUCAGUCAGUGAGUAGAUUUGCCGCGUUAGGGAAAUAACUUGGUGAGUCAGGGAGAGUUUGGGGACUGGAGUUCAAGGCGGAACUCGCCGAGUUGUUCUUGAGACUCGGCGAGUUAAGUCGGGGUGGCCCCGCGAUUCAUGCCAGGUGUGACUCGUCGAGUAAGGGGAAGGACUCGACGUGCCAAGAGAGGGACUAAGAGAGUCAGUGGACACGUGUAGAAUCGUCGAGUCGCCCAAGUGCACUCGACGAGUCGGGUCAAAGUUUGACUGUUGACUUUUGUUGACUUUUAGGGUUUGGUCAACAGUGAGGCCUUUGAGCCAAAAGAGGGGUAAAAUGGUCUUUUACCCUUCUGAGGAUGUUAAGAAAGGUGGGAGUAUAGUUAUAUUUAUGAGAGUAUUUGCUUUAUGUGAUUAGGCGGAGGCUAGAUCACAUUUCUACCGAGACAAAGACUUACCGAGACACCUGAGGUGAGUCUUCUCACUAUAUGUUACCUUGAUUGGUAUUAUGUGUUUACCAGAGGGUCUUAUGUGUUACGUAUGAGAUUAUGUGCUAUGUGACAUAUGUGUGUUGUAUGAUUGUUAUAGACCGGACCGGAGGGUCCAACGAGCUAUGACCGGACCAGAGGGUCCAACGCGCAACGGGACUGGAGGGUCCCGCUGAGACACAUCGACCGAAGGGUCGUAUUAUAGCCUCGAGUGGCGUAUGUGUUGUAUGCGGUAUUUUGGGGGACUCGCUAAGCAUUUAUGCUUACAGUUGUUGUGUUAUGUUUUUCAGGUACUAGCAAGGACUGUGGGAAGGCGCCGACGUGACUCGUACACACUAGAGAGAGUCUGAUUUUUAUGAUCUUGGGAAAUGAUAUGUUUCAAAAACUACUGUUGAAAUAUUUGAGAAUAAUUUUAUAUGAAUUUAGUUGAUGAAAAAUGAAAAAUUUGUUUUGAAAAUUUACGUUGUUACAAAAUGUUUAUUGACAAGAGAAUCUUAUAUGUCAAGGAGUCAGUGGGAGUCUUAAUGGUCUCGAAACGUUUCAAGAAUUAAUCAAGAAUAAACCUUAUCGAUCAUCACUAGCACACGAGUUGAGGUUUACAACCUAUCGUGUUGACACUAUCUUGUUUCUAUGCCAUUCCAAUUGAGUUAAUUAUGCAUAUGAGUUCUCAUUUGAAUGCAUAAAAGACAAGCACCUUGAUCAAUGGAAAGUAC
Molecule: long non-coding RNA, 7830 nt
Filed under: Lactuca sativa (garden lettuce)
Lineage: Eukaryota; Viridiplantae; Streptophyta; Magnoliopsida; Asterales; Asteraceae
Description: long non-coding RNA (LSAT_LNC002743)
Source: RNAcentral